Molecule: long non-coding RNA, 327 nt
Filed under: Ictidomys tridecemlineatus (thirteen-lined ground squirrel)
Lineage: Eukaryota; Metazoa; Chordata; Mammalia; Rodentia; Sciuridae
Description: lncRNA (ENSSTOG00000029596.1)
Rfam family: tRNA (bases 94-157)
Source: RNAcentral
GCGCCGCUGCCGCUGGCGUCGCUGCUGCCGCCGUCGCCGUGCGCAGAGCGCGCAUGCCUCGUAGGACGCCACUGGGCACCCGACUACAGCGUUGUCUCUGUGGCGCAAUCGGUUAGCGCGUUCGGCUGUUAACCGAAAGGCCCCGCACCCGGAGCCAUCCUCCUGAAGCGCCCGGUGUUGGCACGAGCAAGCCGGAGGAAGCGCAGCGGAACGACCCGGACGGAGUUCCGGUUUCCGCCGCUCGCGGAGGCUUUUUGUUCACGGCCCAGGGGACCCGGAACGCUGAGGAGGACGAACCGCAAAGGUUGUCUGAAGGCCGAGGCCAAG